This 270-nucleotide long non-coding RNA is filed under the name Felis catus (domestic cat). Its description in RNAcentral is "lncRNA (ENSFCAG00000045793.2)". Lineage: Eukaryota; Metazoa; Chordata; Mammalia; Carnivora; Felidae. The record is from RNAcentral.
AGUUUAAACAGAACCUGAAAAUAGACAUAACCGGUGAACAACAUUUCUUAAGAAUAGUUCUGCUUGGCUGUUACAAUUAAACGGAGUUCUUGGCAACUGAAAGUGAAGCCAGGAGAUUGGAAACAGCUCAACGUGCUGAUCUGAGCCGACCACUUCGGGGGCUCCAGAGCGGAAUGUAGGUCGUGCUGAGUGAGGUAGGCUGGGGCCCCCAAAGGUGCCAGGCCAAAUUCCUGGCUCCCAGAGGAAGCCUGUCCAGCACCCCACACCCAC